CGGGGGCCCAAAAAGGUGACAGAUUGUGAAAAAGCAGCAGCACCGGAGCACGAUCUAUCUUCCUGUCGCUCCUCUACUAAAGCAAUUUGCCAACUGGUUUCGUCGGUUUUGCGUUUCGUCACUUGAACAGCAGACUUCCGCUGUAAUAAGAAAUGGUUUCCGUGAAAAAUGCAUGCUUCAAGCUGAAAAGUACCAUGCGUCUCCAUUAGUGUGUGUGUGGAGAGAGAAAACGGUGUUCAACAAAUUCGGUUACUUACGUUUCAUGAGGUCCGAAGUCGGUGGUACUGGCACUGUUUCGGCUGGCAUGUGGAGUAGGCAAACAAAAAGGAUCGAUUAGUAUAGAGGAAAGCAAAAAAUUACAACAAUAAUAAUUGCACCAAAAGUGUGGCCACCCAUCACCACCUAUCUCUACCGCCACCAUCACCACAAUAACAGUGUCUUUUCAGGGUUUUUUUUCGGCACUAAAACAUAGCUCUCCUAAUGCUUCUACGGAUUUACAAGACGAUUGGCGCAUGUUUUACUUCGUAUAUAGGAAACACAACACAAGCAAAGAUGAAAGUGGGGUAACAAGAGCAUGCAAAGAUGAGAAGGGAAGCCAGAAGACCAGAAUUAAAUUCGUUUCAUGCAUAAUUUAACAUCAAAAGCCAGUCCACUCGCUGCUCGAUAGGAGCAUGGAGGAGGAAAGCGUAACAA
Molecule: long non-coding RNA, 693 nt
Organism: Anopheles gambiae (African malaria mosquito)
Lineage: Eukaryota; Metazoa; Arthropoda; Insecta; Diptera; Culicidae
Exons: 2
Source: RefSeq, a predicted model, not a curated record